This 253-nucleotide ribosomal RNA is filed under the name uncultured bacterium. RNAcentral's name for it is "partial 16S ribosomal RNA". It matches the Rfam family "Bacterial small subunit ribosomal RNA", at positions 524 to 776 of the family's 1533-position model. The record is from RNAcentral.
UACGUAGGGGGCGAGCGUUGUCCGGAAUCACUGGGCGUAAAGCGCGUGUAGGCGGCUUGGUAAGUCCGGUGUGAAACCUUGGGGCUCAACCCCAAGCCUGCACUGGAUACUGCCUCGCUUGAGUCCGGGAGGGGAGAGCGGAAUUCCUAGUGUAGCGGUGAAAUGCGCAGAUAUUAGGAAGAACACCGGUGGCGAAGGCGGCUCUCUGGAACGGUACUGACGCUGAGACGCGAAAGCGUGGGGAGCGAACAGG